CUGUUUCAACCAUAUCCUUUCAAACCAGAUCAGUGAGGUCAUGACCAGAAAACAAGCCCUGCCAGCCUCCUACCUCAAAUCUAAUUAAUUAUAAUUUUCUUCCUUAUGACAACCCACACAAAAGACAGAGAUAAGAAAAACAAGGACUUCCUGGGAGGCUGUGGAUCAAUUACCAAUGGACACCCAGAAGCAAAUUCACAAGACUCACAAUUCAAAGAACCAAUUUUUUACAAUUUUUUUUUUCCUGUCAGUUGAAUUUGGGAAGGAAGGAACACGCAAAAAUUUUUACCUUCUUCUUUCAAUUGGACACUAUGGACGGAAAUCCAGGAGAGCUGACCUUGCCUUCUUCCCUCUACAUACAGGAACUGCAGACACUGCAGAUAAAACAGAGCCAGAAUGCUUUGCUGCCAGCUGGACCUUUGACCCAAACCCCAGUGUGACUGUCUCCGGUGCUCACUCAACUGCAGUGCAUCAAUGAAGGAAAAAAGAACUGAGCAUUGGCAAAAAGCUGAGGAUGACAAGCUUAGGGGAUGAAAGGCUGCCUUUUCCCCCCCUUCUGAGCGUUUCUGACAGCUCCCAGCUGGGAGAAACCAACAUGACGAAAAGACAAAGAAUACUGGAGAAGAGAGAGGGUGGGCAGAGCCACAACCUCAUCCUCCCAGUGGUUCCUCUUGAGUUUGAUUUGACAAGAUGCCUUCCCACCCAGGUAACCCCGUGGGAACGUGCCAGUACCUCACCGCACGACCUCACUGAGUCCUCACAACAAAUCCAGGCUGCAGAUUUUUUUCCCCACUUGGAGAUGACAAAUUGAAAUGCAGGAAGGUUAAAGAGUUUGCCUGAGGUUGCUUAGAUAAUAAAAGAAUCUGGAUUAGAACCCAGACCUACCCAGCUAAAAAAAAAAAAAAAAAA
This 909-nucleotide long non-coding RNA is filed under the name Homo sapiens (human). RNAcentral describes it as "long independently transcribed non-coding RNA 1587 (LINC01587)". Lineage: Eukaryota; Metazoa; Chordata; Mammalia; Primates; Hominidae. The record is from RNAcentral.